RNAcentral lists this ribosomal RNA (703 nucleotides) under uncultured bacterium. Its description in RNAcentral is "bacterial SSU rRNA". It matches the Rfam family "Bacterial small subunit ribosomal RNA", at positions 62 to 735 of the family's 1533-position model. The record is from RNAcentral.
CCCAUUGAUUGACGGUGCUUGCACCUGAUUGAUUUUGGUCGCCAACGAGUGGCGGACGGGUGAGUAACACGUAGGUAACCUGCCCAGAAGCGGGGGACAACAUUUGGAAACAGAUGCUAAUACCGCAUAACAACGUUGUUCGCAUGAACAACGCUUAAAAGAUGGCUUCUCGCUAUCACUUCUGGAUGGACCUGCGGUGCAUUAGCUUGUUGGUGGGGUAACGGCCUACCAAGGCGAUGAUGCAUAGCCGAGUUGAGAGACUGAUCGGCCACAAUGGGACUGAGACACGGCCCAUACUCCUACGGGAGGCAGCAGUAGGGAAUCUUCCACAAUGGGCGCAAGCCUGAUGGAGCAACACCGCGUGAGUGAAGAAGGGUUUCGGCUCGUAAAGCUCUGUUGUUAAGGAAGAACACGUAUGAGAGUAACUGUUCAUACGUUGACGGUAUUUAACCAGAAAGUCACGGCUAACUACGUGCCAGCAGCCGCGGUAAUACGUAGGUGGCAAGCGUUAUCCGGAUUUAUUGGGCGUAAAGAGAGUGCAGGCGGUUUUCUAAGUCUGAUGUGAAAGCCUUCGGCUUAACCGGAGAAGUGCAUCGGAAACUGGAUAACUUGAGUGCAGAAGAGGGUAGUGGAACUCCAUGUGUAGCGGUGGAAUGCGUAGAUAUAUGGAAGAACACCAGUGGCGAAGGCGGCUACCUGGUCU